UUGAAGGAGAUAAAUCUGUAUGGCCCUCACACUUUCUUAUACUCUUGGCUUCAUUAUAUUUGUUGUUAUGGCAUCUUGUAAAAUUACAAUCAGUGUUGUUCAUUUCUUGUACAUAAAUCUGAACUAAUGAUUGUAAAUUAUGAUGUUUUUUCUUUCUUAAAACUGAGCAUUGGUUGAAAUGUUAAUAAAUCGAAUUCUCUUCUGGCGGAGUUGAAGAUUAUCAAAUAGGUUAUGUGCUUGCAGGUUUCUCAAGCACCAUAUAUCACUCAUCUGGGAUGCAUUUUCAGAUAUCAGACUAAAAGAGGUCUUUUAACAUAAAAUGCAACUGCAGAGCAUUGUUAAUAGUUAUAUGCUUGUAGAAAACAAAUUUCUUUAGCAGCAGGAAUCUUUCUGUCGUUGAUAUUAGUAAAUAUUGUUUAGUUAUCAAGAAGUGGAUGAAAGUUUUAAUCUUUGUUGACUACUGGAUGCUAAAACAAAGUUUUGAAAAUACUCAAUUGGAUUGUGUAUAAAUGGGGUAUUUCAUGUGAUUUUCCCUUGUUAUUGGGCCUCUGCUGAUGGGCUAGAGCAUAUCUGGAUUCUGGAGUUUCUAAUUUACAUCUAUUUUGUGCAGUGACAAGCUCAUGUUGACACGUUC
RNAcentral lists this unclassified non-coding RNA (634 nucleotides) under Hevea brasiliensis (rubber tree). The record is from RNAcentral. Lineage: Eukaryota; Viridiplantae; Streptophyta; Magnoliopsida; Malpighiales; Euphorbiaceae.